AUGCUACCCAUAUCCCCAAGAGGGAGCGCAAGCGUGCACUCAGGGACGUCUACGCGAUGGAGCCAGUCGCCCCAAAGUACAACCCAUGGUCGUCCUAUCCGAUCACCUUCGAUCGCAGGGACCAUCCGACCAGUAUCUGUCAUGGCGGUUCAGCUACACUGGUCCUUGACCCAAUCAUUGAUGGAUUCCACCUUAGUGAGUCCUCAUGGACAGCGGCAGCAGCCUGAACCUGCUCUAUCAGGAUACAGUGCGCAAAAUAGGUAUCGACCCCUCAAGGAUCAAGCCCACAAAAACCACCUUUAA
RNAcentral lists this ribosomal RNA (303 nucleotides) under Triticum aestivum (bread wheat). RNAcentral's name for it is "partial small subunit ribosomal RNA". The record is from RNAcentral. Lineage: Eukaryota; Viridiplantae; Streptophyta; Magnoliopsida; Poales; Poaceae.